Molecule: ribosomal RNA, 513 nt
Filed under: uncultured bacterium
Lineage: Bacteria
Description: bacterial SSU rRNA
Rfam family: Bacterial small subunit ribosomal RNA
Source: RNAcentral
GAGUUUGAUCGUGGCUCAGAUUGAACGCUGGCGGCAGGCCUAACACAUGCAAGUCGAGCGGUAGAGAGAAGCUUGCUUCUCUUGAGAGCGGCGGACGGGUGAGUAAUGCCUAGGAAUCUGCCUGGUAGUGGGGGAUAACGCUCGGAAACGGACGCUAAUACCGCAUACGUCCUACGGGAGAAAGCAGGGGACCUUCGGGCCUUGCGCUAUCAGAUGAGCCUAGGUCGGAUUAGCUAGUUGGUGAGGUAAUGGCUCACCAAGGCGACGAUCCGUAACUGGUCUGAGAGGAUGAUCAGUCACACUGGAACUGAGACACGGUCCAGACUCCUACGGGAGGCAGCAGUGGGGAGUAUUGGACAAUGGGCGAAAGCCUGAUCCAGCCAUGCCGCGUGUGUGAAGAAGGUCUUCGGAUUGUAAAGCACUUUAAGUUGGGAGGAAGGGCAGUAAAUUAAUACUUUGCUGUUUUGACGUUACCGACAGAAUAAGCACCGGCUAACUCUGUGCCAGCCGCCG